GACGUAGGGCGCGAGCGUUGUCCGGAUUUAUUGGGCGUAAAGAGCUCGUAGGCGGCUUGUCGCGUCGACCGUGAAAACUUGGGGCUCAACCCCAAGCCUGCGGUCGAUACGGGCAGGCUCGAGUUCGGUAGGGGAGACUGGAAUUCCUGGUGUAGCGGUGAAAUGCGCAGAUAUCAGGAGGAACACCGGUGGCGAAGGCGGGUCUCUGGGCCGAAAUUGACGCUGAGGAGCGAAAGCGUGGGGAGCGAACAGG
RNAcentral lists this ribosomal RNA (253 nucleotides) under uncultured bacterium. Its description in RNAcentral is "partial 16S ribosomal RNA". It matches the Rfam family "Bacterial small subunit ribosomal RNA", at positions 524 to 776 of the family's 1533-position model. The record is from RNAcentral.